Saccostrea cuccullata (small rock oyster) is the source of this 813-nucleotide long non-coding RNA. RefSeq lists it as uncharacterized. Lineage: Eukaryota; Metazoa; Mollusca; Bivalvia; Ostreida; Ostreidae. The transcript is spliced from 3 exons. The record is from RefSeq and is a predicted model, not a curated record.
UAGAGAGUACCGAAUAGUGGAAAACGUGAUUAACUAAUAUUAGCAUAAAAGUGACAACAAGGCCAUAUGCUCACCCACUGAAGGCAACCUGUGUAACUUAUGUUGUUCUUUGCAAUCCGAACAAAGACGAUUACCGUGGAUUAACGUGCUGGGAACACCUUGCUGAUAAAUCUAAAUCAAAAUGGUGAAAGAUAUCUGUAAAGAAUGCAGGAACGGUGUUCACGCCUGCGGCAGCGAACCAAAGCAGGGCGAACAAUACCGACCCCCACCCCCGUGUCACCAUGGACACAACAGGGAGGACACAGUGGCCGCCCCUAACACCGACAAAAAAGUCAACACGUGGGGCUCAUUCAAAAACAAGGACAACUUCUUAGAACUCCAUUUUCGAUGAAUGAAUAAAACUUUUUUUUCUAAAGGUUGCCAUGCAAUAUGUUUAGAAAUGCCUGAUUGAAAUGUGACAGAAGAAUAUAUAUAACUUUUUUUGUUGGAGAAGUGUCAUAGUUGAUGUAUAUAUAUCUCGAGUCAAAUUACAGUACCUCAAUUUACGGGUGUAUUUAAAGUUUGUGUGUAAAUGUAUUUUAACAUUCAAUGCAAUGAUGUCUAUUUCGUACAUUUUUUAUGUACAGCGUGUUAGGGUGGGUACGGGUGUGUGUGUGUGAUUGUGUGGGCGUAAUUUUUUGGAAGUAGAGUUUAUUUAAUCAAUAUUUAGAAAUGGGAUGAGAGAAUCCAAAGUGUUCAUUUUAAGUAAUUUUACAAGCUUUUUGCAGAAAUAAUGUACCAUGUAUUAUUUGCAUAAAAAUUAAUUUGAUUUUG